UCUUCAUGCAACAAGUAUUUAUUAAGCAUUUACCAUGUACCAGGCACUGCCAUAGGUGUUAGGGACGUAGUAGUAAACAAGACACAGGGCCCCUGAAUACACAUUUUUGUGCGGGUUGUGCCCAGCUCAAUGCCCCCUAGUCUAGGGGACCAGUUGAGCUGAAAUCCAGCAAACCCUGAGGGCUGUGCCCAUCCAGGCCCCACCCCACAAGUCCCUCCGAGACAGUCUGCUGCCACAAGAAGAAAAGCCCUGCCUAUUUUCCCUUCCUGGGGGCAGUGAGACAGUGCCUGUCCCUCGCUGACCUGCCUGGGCUCUGCAGCACAGAGGGGGCAGGUGAAGCCCGGGAUGAGAAAAGACUGGGGCUUGGAGCAGAAAUCCCAACUGUGCGGGCAGAUGUCUUGGCUCUUCCUUGGUAGGCCAGGCACAGGGAUGGGAACCCGGUCUUCCAUUCCCAGCCCAGUGCUGUUCCCGCGUCCCCGCUGUGGAACUACACAGCCCAGUGCUGUUCCCACAUCCCCACUGUGGAACUACACAGCACAGUGCCCUGCCACAUACCAGAGAAGGAGUGCCCUCUGAACUCCUCCAGACACCCCUGAAAAAUGGCCUCUUCUCCCCUAAAUACCAGAGGGGGCAGUUUGGCCCCACCAAGUAGAAAUUUAAGAGACCUGGUUCCAAUUUGGCUGUGCCACUGCUUGCCUGGUGACCCCUCUGAGCCUGGAACCCCCACCUGUGGAGACAGGGGUCUGGGUGGGCUCAUGGCUCAUUCUAUCUCUUGGCUCCCCCUGGCACCAGUGCGGACCUGCCCCCUGGAUGAGUUCCAGUGCAACAACACCUUGUGCAAGCCGCUGGCCUGGAAGUGCGAUGGCGAGGAUGACUGUGGGGACAACUCAGAUGAGAACCCCGAGGAGUGUGCCCGGUUCGUGUGCCCUCCCAACCGGCCCUUCCGUUGCAAGAAUGACCGCGUCUGUCUGUGGAUCGGGCGCCAAUGCGAUGGCACGGACAACUGUGGGGAUGGGACUGAUGAAGAGGACUGUGGUGAGCAGGGGGCCGACGAGAGGCCUGCAGGGGACGGGUAGUGCACAGUGGGGUGAGUCUGGUCCUCGUGGGAGCUGCACUGGGGUUAGGGUUAACCAGGAGGACUCGCCCAGGAAGGGGAGGAUCCAUUGCUAGGAGCCUGGGGGCUUUUCGUUAGGAAAGAGAAGCCCCUGGGGAAGGCUCUGGGGGCUGCCUGAUGCCUUAGGUCUUGGAGGUGGGGCUGGGAACCCAAAUGUUUGACCUGCUCCCCCUGCAAGCCUUGUCACUUAGGAAUUGGGAGCCACUGUUAUCUAUGGGGUUGCCGUGGGAGGAGGAGGCAGGGGAGAAUACCCAGGGCCUAAAGCCUCUGCCCUCCUCAGAGCCCCCCACAGCCCAGACCACCCACUGCAAAGACAAGAAGGAGUUUCUGUGCCGGAACCAGCGCUGCCUCUCCUCCUCCCUGCGCUGCAACAUGUUCGAUGACUGCGGGGACGGCUCUGACGAGGAGGACUGCAGCAUCGACCCCAAGCUGACCAGCUGCGCCACCAAUGCCAGCAUCUGUGGGGACGAGGCACGCUGCGUGCGCACCGAGAAAGCGGCCUACUGUGCCUGCCGCUCGGGCUUCCACACCGUGCCCGGCCAGCCCGGAUGCCAAGGUAGGAAAGCGGGGCAGAGCAGGGGUGGACACCCCAACUGUGGACUCUCAUGACCCUCCCUGUAACCCUUAGACAUCAACGAGUGCCUGCGCUUCGGCACCUGCUCCCAGCUCUGCAACAACACCAAGGGCGGCCACCUCUGCAGCUGCGCUCGGAACUUCAUGAAGACGCACAACACCUGCAAGGCCGAAGGCUCUGAGUACCAGGUCCUGUACAUCGCUGAUGACAAUGAGAUCCGCAGCCUGUUCCCCGGCCACCCCCAUUCGGCUUACGAGCAGGCAUUCCAGGGUGACGAGAGUGUCCGCAUUGAUGCUAUGGAUGUCCAUGUCAAGGCUGGCCGUGUCUAUUGGACCAACUGGCACACGGGCACCAUCUCCUACCGCAGCCUGCCACCUGCUGCGCCUCCUACCACUUCCAACCGCCACCGGCGACAGAUUGACCGGGGUGUCACCCACCUCAACAUUUCAGGGCUGAAGAUGCCCAGAGGCAUCGCCAUCGACUGGGUGGCCGGAAACGUGUACUGGACCGACUCGGGCCGAGAUGUGAUUGAGGUGGCGCAGAUGAAGGGCGAGAACCGCAAGACGCUCAUCUCGGGCAUGAUUGACGAGCCCCACGCCAUUGUGGUGGACCCACUGAGGGGGUGGGCAAGGGCCCUGGGGGGAGGCCUCUGGGCUGGUGGUAGGAAGCCCCCGGGACAGGGUUGGGGGCUGCACCCACAUGCGUGCCUUUCCCUCCCAGGCCAGCCUGAGGACAGAGUCCUUUUCAGGCCCUUGGGUCUUCUCGGCCACCCCUGCCUGGCCCUCCCCAUGCUGCCUCUGCCCAGGGCCCCCAGCUGGGCCUGCUUGGGCAGGGAUCUGACCUCUGCUUGGCCGGCUGUCAUGCACAGCCACACUCUGCCCUGGGGAACAGCUCUGCAAGCGUCGGUGGCUCUGAAUGAGCACACUGUGGUUUUAGAGGAAAAGCCCCUCAACCUGCUCAGAAGCAGACGCCCGCCUGCUUCUCUGUAGAAGGACAGAAUGCCCUCCUCCCAGUCCCCAGCAGUCCCUGUGCCCAGACCAAGAAGCUGGUGUCCUGCCUGGGCCUGCCUCCUCUGGCCCUCCGGCCUGCCCACACUCACCCCUUCUCCCUCCCCAGGACCAUGUACUGGUCAGACUGGGGCAACCACCCCAAGAUUGAAACGGCAGCGAUGGAUGGGACGCUUCGGGAGACACUGGUGCAGGACAACAUUCAGUGGCCCACAGGCCUGGCCGUGGAUUAUCACAAUGAGCGGCUGUACUGGGCAGACGCCAAGCUUUCAGUCAUCGGCAGCAUCCGGCUCAAUGGCACGGACCCCAUUGUGGCUGCUGACAGCAAACGAGGCCUAAGUCACCCCUUCAGCAUCGACGUCUUUGAGGAUUACAUCUAUGGUGUCACCUACAUCAAUAAUCGUGUCUUCAAGAUCCAUAAGUUUGGCCACAGCCCCUUGGUCAACCUGACAGGGGGCCUGAGCCACGCCUCUGACGUGGUCCUUUACCAUCAGCACAAGCAGCCCGAAGUGACCAACCCAUGUGACCGCAAGAAAUGCGAGUGGCUCUGCCUGCUGAGCCCCAGUGGGCCUGUCUGCACCUGUCCCAAUGGGAAGCGGCUGGACAACGGCACAUGCGUGCCUGUGCCCUCUCCAACGCCACCCCCAGAUGCUCCCCGGCCUGGAACCUGUAACCUGCAGUGCUUCAACGGUGGCAGCUGUUUCCUCAAUGCACGGAGGCAGCCCAAGUGCCGCUGCCAACCCCGCUACACGGGUGACAAGUGUGAACUGGACCAGUGCUGGGAGCACUGUCGCAAUGGGGGCACCUGUGCUGCCUCCCCCUCUGGCAUGCCCACGUGCCGGUGCCCCACGGGCUUCACGGGCCCCAAAUGCACCCAGCAGGUGUGUGCGGGCUACUGUGCCAACAACAGCACCUGCACUGUCAACCAGGGCAACCAGCCCCAGUGCCGAUGCCUACCCGGCUUCCUGGGCGACCGCUGCCAGUACCGGCAGUGCUCUGGCUACUGUGAGAACUUUGGCACAUGCCAGAUGGCUGCUGAUGGCUCCCGACAAUGCCGCUGCACUGCCUACUUUGAGGGACCGAGGUGUGAGGUGAACAAGUGCAGCCGCUGUCUCGAAGGGGCCUGUGUGGUCAACAAGCAGAGUGGGGAUGUCACCUGCAACUGCACGGAUGGCCGGGUGGCCCCCAGCUGUCUGACCUGCGUCGGCCACUGCAGCAAUGGCGGCUCCUGUACCAUGAACAGCAAAAUGAUGCCUGAGUGCCAGUGCCCACCCCACAUGACAGGGCCCCGGUGUGAGGAGCACAUCUUCAGCCAGCAGCAGCCAGGACAUAUAGCCUCCAUCCUAAUCCCUCUGCUGUUGCUGCUGCUGCUGCUUCUGGUGGCCGGAGUGGUAUUCUGGUAUAAGCGGCGAGUCCAAGGGGCUAAGGGCUUCCAGCACCAACGGAUGACCAACGGGGCCAUGAACGUGGAGAUUGGAAACCCCACCUACAAGAUGUACGAAGGCGGAGAGCCUGAUGAUGUGGGAGGCCUACUGGACGCUGACUUUGCCCUGGACCCUGACAAGCCCACCAACUUCACCAACCCCGUGUAUGCCACACUCUACAUGGGGGGCCACGGCAGUCGCCACUCCCUGGCCAGCACGGACGAGAAGCGAGAACUCCUGGGCCGCGGCCCUGAGGACGAGAUAGGGGACCCCUUGGCAUAGGGCCCUGCCCCGUCGGACUGCCCCCAGAAAGCCUCCUGCCCCCUACCAGUGAAGUCCUUCAGUGAGCCCCUCCCCAGCCAGCCCUUCCCUGGCCCCGCCGGAUGUAUAAAUGUAAAAAUGAAGGAAUUACAUUUUAUAUGUGAGCGAGCAAGCCGGCAAGCGAGCACAGUAUUAUUUCUCCAUCCCCUCCCUGCCUGCUCCUUGGCACCCCCAUGCUGCCUUCAGGGAGACAGGCAGGGAGGGCUUGGGGCUGCACCUCCUACCCUCCCACCAGAACGCACCCCACUGGGAGAGCUGGUGGUGCAGCCUUCCCCUCCCUGUAUAAGACACUUUGCCAAGGCUCUCCCCUCUCGCCCCAUCCCUGCUUGCCCGCUCCCACAGCUUCCUGAGGGCUAAUUCUGGGAAGGGAGAGUUAUUUGCUGCCCCUGUCUGGAAGACGUGGCUCUGGGUGAGGUAGGCGGGAAAGGAUGGAGUGUUUUAGUUCUUGGGGGAGGCCACCCCAAACCCCAGCCCCAACUCCAGGGGCACCUAUGAGAUGGCCAUGCUCAACCCCCCUCCCAGACAGGCCCUCCCUGUCUCCAGGGCCCCCACCGAGGUUCCCAGGGCUGGAGACUUCCUCUGGUAAACAUUCCUCCAGCCUCCCCUCCCCUGGGGACGCCAAGGAGGUGGGCCACACCCAGGAAGGGAAAGCGGGCAGCCCCUUUUUGGGGACGUGAACGUUUUAAUAAUUUUUGCUGAAUUCCUUUACAACUAAAUAACACAGAUAUUGUUAUAAAUAAAAUUGU
Molecule: small RNA, 5186 nt
Filed under: Pan troglodytes (chimpanzee)
Lineage: Eukaryota; Metazoa; Chordata; Mammalia; Primates; Hominidae
Description: retained intron
Source: RNAcentral